GGGAGACAGUAAGCCCCACAACCAUGCAGAUGGGACCGUAGUCUCUACACUGCCAGCACAGGGGGUAGGGACGGUCGGUCCUGCCCCCCCAGCGACAGGGCUGUUUAGCCAAAGGGGAGACAGUCGGUCUCCCCCUCCAGCAGCAGAGAUGGGUAACCAAAGGGGAGACGGUCGGUCUCCAGCAGCAGGACUGUGCAUCUAAAGGGGAGACAGUCAGUCUCCAGCAGCAGCAGCAGAGCGGUGUAUUUAAAGAGGAGACAGUCGGUCUCCCCCUCCAACAACCAGGCUUCCA
Molecule: non-coding RNA, 292 nt
Organism: Pelobates cultripes (western spadefoot toad)
Lineage: Eukaryota; Metazoa; Chordata; Amphibia; Anura; Pelobatidae
Source: the annotation of a GenBank genome assembly